GAGGGUAUAGCUCAGGUGGUAGAGCAUAAGCUUAGCAUGCACAAGGUCCUGGGUUCAAUCCCCAGUACCUCCU
This 73-nucleotide transfer RNA is filed under the name Camelus bactrianus (Bactrian camel). It matches the Rfam family "tRNA". Rfam says of the family: Transfer RNA (tRNA) molecules are approximately 80 nucleotides in length. Their secondary structure includes four short double-helical elements and three loops (D, anti-codon, and T loops). The record is from Rfam by way of RNAcentral. Lineage: Eukaryota; Metazoa; Chordata; Mammalia; Artiodactyla; Camelidae. RNAcentral also lists the same sequence under 2 other names.